UACGAAGGGGGCUAGCGUUGCUCGGAAUCACUGGGCGUAAAGCGCACGUAGGCGGAUCUUUAAGUCAGGGGUGAAAUCCCAAGGCUCAACCUUGGAACUGCCUUUGAUACUGGGGAUCUCGAGUCCGGAAGAGGUUGGUGGAACUGCGAGUGUAGAGGUGAAAUUCGUAGAUAUUCGCAAGAACACCAGUGGCGAAGGCGGCCCCCUGGUUGGAUACUGACGCUGAUACGCGAAAGCGUGGGGAGCAAACAGG
RNAcentral lists this ribosomal RNA (253 nucleotides) under uncultured bacterium. Its description in RNAcentral is "partial 16S ribosomal RNA". It matches the Rfam family "Bacterial small subunit ribosomal RNA", at positions 524 to 776 of the family's 1533-position model. The record is from RNAcentral.